This 485-nucleotide long non-coding RNA is filed under the name Equus caballus (horse). RNAcentral describes it as "lncRNA (ENSECAG00000056066.1)". The record is from RNAcentral. Lineage: Eukaryota; Metazoa; Chordata; Mammalia; Perissodactyla; Equidae.
AUGAGCUGCAUAUCACUCCCUGACACCCUAUAAACCUGAGACUCCAUGACCAGUCAAAGAAGGCAUUUGGGCAGUGGAUGGAUAAACAAAUCAUGGCUUCUCUGUAGUGCUAUGGAAUGAACGCAGAGUGAAAUACUACUCAGCAAUAAAGGGGAAUUAAUUAUUGAAAAAUGCAACAGCUUGGAUGAAUUUUGCCAAGCAAAAAGUCCGACACAAAAGCAUACAUGUGGCAGUCAGUGAAGACUUGCUGAAUGGAAUGAAAUGGAAAGAAAGAACAUGACAAACAGUCUGCCUAACAGCUGCCUGACAUCUCCCUGGUAAAGUCACCUGCUCAUGGAGGUUCUCUGUAGAUUGACAUUUUACAAAUUAGCAUCCCCUUCAAGCUGAAAGAGCACCAGGGAGCCACCUCAUUGGGAGGCACGCUAGAGUAAUAGCAGCAACACCACUCAUGGGUUGGAGGAGCCGGAGAAGAGAAGCAAAUAAAC